AGGACAUGGCCUCUGAGUACCCA
This 23-nucleotide non-coding RNA is filed under the name Arabidopsis thaliana (thale cress). Lineage: Eukaryota; Viridiplantae; Streptophyta; Magnoliopsida; Brassicales; Brassicaceae. The record is from RNAcentral.